AUUGAACGCUGGCGGCAGGCCUAACACAUGCAAGUCGAGCGGAGCGGCGGACGGGUGAGUAAUGCCUAUGAAUCUGCCUCGUAGUGGGGGAUAACGUUCGGAAACGGGCGCUAAUCCCGCAUACUAUCAGUCUAGCCUAGGUCGGAGUAGAUAGUUGGUGGGGUAAAGGCCUACCAAGGCGACGAGCCGUAACUGGUCUGAGAGGAUGAUCAGUCACACUGGAACUGGAACACGGUCCAGACUCCUACGGGAGGCAGCAGUGGGGAAUAUUGGACAAUGGGCGAGAGCCUGAUCCAGCCAGGCCGCGUGUGUGAAGAAGGUCUUCGGGUUGUAAAGCACUUUAAGUUGGGAGGCGUUACCAACAGAAUAAGCACCGGCUAACUUCGUGCCAGCAGCCGCGGUAAUAC
Molecule: ribosomal RNA, 407 nt
Filed under: uncultured bacterium
Lineage: Bacteria
Description: partial 16S ribosomal RNA
Rfam family: Bacterial small subunit ribosomal RNA
Source: RNAcentral